AGCAGCCGCGGGCGAGGCGCGCGAGGGAGGAGUCGGCACGAGGACACGCAGGCCCUGCGCGCUGAGCAGGGGCGCCCGCGAAGGAAGGGACAGGGGCGCCCCUCGUCCCGCUCCUGGAUGCGGAUCCCGCGGGCCCGCCUCUGCCCGGGGACACUCACAGGCGAAGCCCCAGUCUCCCGCGCGGCUCUUCCACUUCCCGAGGCUGAGAGGGAAGCCAGAGCUAUCAUGUCAUGAGGAACUCAAGCAGCCCUGUGGAAAGGCUCACAUGAUGAGGAACUGAGGCCUCCUGCCAACAGCCAUAUGAGUGAGCCAUAUUGGAAGUGGAUCCUGCAGCCCCAGUAAAGCCUUCAGGUGACUGUAGCUUGGGUGAUGCUGACUGAAACCUCAUGAGAGAUCCUGAGCAGAAUCACCCAGAUAAGCCACUCUCAGAUGACCCACAGAGACUAUGAGAUGAUAAAUGUUUAUUGUUUUAAUAUGUAACAGAAAGGCUGGAGAUUCAGUUUAACCCCUCCUCCAAGGAAGAAGAAGAAAUACCAGAAAUAGAUUGCCUGAGGACAGGCAGUUGCCUUCUUGGACGGGGAGGAGAUAAAUGAGAAGAUCUCUGGCCCUUGAGACCAUCUACCCUGUCACCAACCUGUGAGCCAAAACCUACGCUUAGUCAAGUUCAUUGUUUUCAUAUCUUUGUUUUUGUCUUUGCUUAUUGCUUAAAUUAAACAUUCCUAUGGAUUUCUCUAACCACGUCUGGCUGAAAUGAGAGGGAAUAACGAGGUCCCAGCUGGGACGGUAAUUUGAGAACUACGCACGCCAGUCUUGGAAUCUGGAGGUGGUGGCUGGGCUGAGGGAGCUUGAAGGUGAGGGUGGAACUUGUAGAACCUGGUUCAGCUUCUAAUUUUGCCAUCCAUUCACUAUGAUCUCUAGCAGUGUACUAUUGCUGAGCUUAUUUUCUUGUGUGUUAACAGUGGAAAAUAAUAGUUGUCCUACCUAUUGCAUAGGGACACUGUAAGAAUGCAAUGAGAUUCUGUAUGUGAAAGCGUCCCCUUACCUACUUCACUAGUGGGAACUAUUAAAGACCAUGCCAUCUGAACCAAAUUGCAAAGCAAGGGUACAGACAAAUGCUGGUCAUGAAAUAUCUUCCACUUGUGCCUGUCCCUUCUAAGGACUGCUACACUCCAUCCUUGGUUUAUUAAUAACAUGUUUUGGCUCACUUAGACCUCUAGGUCACCACCACAUACGUUUCACUGUUAAAAUUCCUUUAUUUCUCUCAUAGGCUCUGUUUGUGUCCAUAGCACCUAACAUCGUGCUCAGAGCAGGAACCCUGUAAAUACACGUGGAUUAAUAGAUGAAAAUAUUCUGCUUAUAGAGAGCUCAUCCAUGACUUUAAAUUCCCCUCUAACAAACAUUUCUAUUUCUUUAAGCUGGUGUGUAAAGUCAUUUGUAAGAAAUUCUUAUUGGUGAGGUCAAUGUGUCUCAUAAUGAUUAGAGAUUAUUGAUACACUAGUAGUCAGUUUGUGUUUAUACUAGACUUAUUUCAAAGAACAUUAUAACGUUUAUGAAUUAAGCUGGGACAGAGAAGCAACUGCAGACAAAGUGACUCUUUUGUGGCCUCUGACAACUGGUGGCUUUAAACAAUGAAGGCCAUUGUAUAAGAACUCCCUCCCGGGUUAUUGUGAGGAUUAAUUAGAUUAAAAUCUACAAAAUGCUUUGACUUUUUCCCAGAAUUCUUUUAUAAAUAAAGAUGGUUUUAAUUUUUUUAAAAGUAUCUUUAUAUUGUCCUCCUAGAAUCAAAUGAAACAAGUUCACCUACUGUUUAACUCUCUGUAUUCCCUGAAGCAAAAAGCCAGACUAAGCCAACCUAAAUUACCUUUAAUGGUUUUAAGCGGGCUACCAGUGCACACAUGACUGAGCAGAAUUUAGUACGCUAAUCACAAAGAUCUUGGUGUAUGAUUUACAUGACACAAUAAUGCCUUGUAAUCACUAUGCUACAUGGUCAUUAGAUAUUAGUUACUGUAAUUAUUACAGCUGUUUUAUACUGAGCAACAAAGUUUUACUGUCCUCUUUGUUAUUUAUAUUUUAAUAACUCACAUUCUGCUCAUUUACAAAUAGGGUUUCAGGCAGCCUUCCCUUAUAGUAGUUCCUCCCUAUCUUCAAACAUUGCAAAUGUUGAAAAUUUUCCCUGAUACCGGGUACUGUUCGAUCCUCAUUGUUUACACAGAAACACAGACACCAGAUAAAAGACAGGAGUCCUAGAUCCAAUUCUCCAACAGUUGAGGUUCCUUGGGAACCCCUUUAACUCAGUUUCUUGGUCUCCUUUGUCCCCAGUGACCCACCUGGCCCAUGCAGUCCC
Delphinapterus leucas (beluga whale) is the source of this 2344-nucleotide non-coding RNA. The record is from RefSeq and is a predicted model, not a curated record. Lineage: Eukaryota; Metazoa; Chordata; Mammalia; Artiodactyla; Monodontidae.